UAUUCCGCUGAUACGAAGUUUCGCGGAAAACUUCGUGCUGAAAAAACGUCAUUCUUCCAAAACGUCAAGCUUUUAAACCGUCGUGCUUCCAAAACGUUCGUCUCAUCAAUCUAAGACAUCUUCUAACUAUGGUCGAGAAACUUAUUCGACUCAUAGUUAACUCACGAUGAUUUCUUUGCCCACUUCGUACUUCAAAACUUCUCGAUCACCCGCGACUCGACCACCACAACGAUACUCGACCAUUCUCUCUCUCUCUUCUUUUUUUUAAUGGGUUUCUACAGUCGGGGGCAUUCGUAUUUCAUAGUCAGAGGUGAAAUUAUUGGAUUUAUGAAAGACGAACAACUGCGAAAGCAUUUGCCAAGGAUGUUUUCAUUAAUCAAGAACGAAAGUUAGGGGCUCGAAGACGAUCAGAUACCUUCCUAGUCUCAACCAUAAACGAUGCCGACCAGAGAUCAGCGGUUAGGACUCCGCUGGCACCUUAUGAGAAAUCAAAGUUUUUGGGUUUCGGGGGGAGUAUGGUCGCAAGGCUGAAACUUAAAGGAAUUGACGGAAGGGCACCACCAGUAGUGGAGCCUGCGGCUUAAUUUGACUCAACACGAGGAAAUUUACCAGGUCCAGAUAUAGUAAGGAUUGACAGACUGAGAGCGCUUUCUUGAUUCUAUGGGUGGUGGUGCAUGGUCGUUCUUAGUUGGUGGAGCGAUUUUUCUGGUUAAUUCCGUUAACGAACGAGACCUCAGCCAGCUAACUAGCUAUGUGGAGGCAUCCCUUCACGGCCGGCUUCUUAGAGGAACUAUGGCCGUUUAGGCCAAAGAAAGUUUGAGGCAAUACCAGGUCUGUGAUACCCUUAGAUGUUCUAGGCCGCACACGCGCUACACUGAUGUAUUCAACGAGUUCACACCUUGGCCGACAGGCCCGGGUAAUCUUUGAAAUUUCAUCGUGUGGGGAUAGAUCAUUGCAAUUUUUGGUCUUCAACAAGGAAUUCCUAGUAAGCGCGAGUCAUCAGCUCGCAUUGACUACAUACCAUAUCAUCAUCAGAUCAUUG
This 1042-nucleotide non-coding RNA is filed under the name Brassica napus (rape). Its description in RNAcentral is "Eukaryotic small subunit ribosomal RNA". It matches the Rfam family "Eukaryotic small subunit ribosomal RNA", at positions 637 to 1831 of the family's 1831-position model. Lineage: Eukaryota; Viridiplantae; Streptophyta; Magnoliopsida; Brassicales; Brassicaceae. The record is from Rfam by way of RNAcentral.